UGCAGUCGGACGGGAUUGAGGAGCUUGCUUCUCAUGAGAGUGGCGCACGGGUGCGUAACACGUAUGUAACCUACCUUGUUCAGGGGGAUAGCCUCUCGAAAGAGAGAUUAACACCGCAUAAAAUCAAUUUAUGGCAUCAUAGAAUGAUCAAAUAUUUAUAGGAACAAGAUGGGCAUGCGGAACAUUAGCUAGUUGGUAAGGUAACGGCUUACCAAGGCUACGAUGUUUAGGGGAUCUGAGAGGAUGACCCCCCACACUGGUACUGAGACACGGACCAGACUCCUACGGGAGGCAGCAGUAAGGAAUAUUGGUCAAUGGACGCAAGUCUGAACCAGCCAUGCCGCGUGCAGGAAGACGGCCCUACGGGUUGUAAACUGCUUUUGUACCGGAAUAAACCUUUUCACGUGUGAGAAGCUGAAUGUACGGUAAGAAUAAGGAUCGGCUAACUCCGUGCCAGCAGCCGCGGUAAUACGGAGGAUCCAAGCGUUAUCCGGAUUUAUUGGGUUUAAAGGGUGCGUAGGUGGCCUAUUAAGUCAGGGGUGAAAGACGGUAGCUUAACUAUCGCAGUGCCUUUGAUACUGAUGGGCUUGAAUACACUUGAGGUAGGCGGAAUGUGACAAGUAGCGGUGAAAUGCAUAGAUAUGUCACAGAACACCAAUUGCGAAGGCAGCUUACUAAAGUGUUAUUGACACUGAGGCACGAAAGCGUGGGGAUCAAACAGGAUUAGAUACCCUGGUAGUCCACGCCCUAAACGAUGAAUACUCGAUGUUGGCGAUAUACGGUCAGCGUCUAAGCGAAAGCGUUAAGUAUUCCACCUGGGGAGUACGCCCGCAAGGGUGAAACUC
RNAcentral lists this ribosomal RNA (845 nucleotides) under uncultured bacterium. Its description in RNAcentral is "bacterial SSU rRNA". It matches the Rfam family "Bacterial small subunit ribosomal RNA", at positions 56 to 902 of the family's 1533-position model. The record is from RNAcentral.